CAGUAGCCGCGGUAAUACGAAGGGGGCUAGCGUUGCUCGGAAUGACUGGGCGUAAAUGGCGCGUAGGCGGAUUGUUUAGUUAGGCGUGAAAUUCCUGGGCUUAACCUGGGGACUGCGCUUAAUACAGGCAGUCUAGAGUGAGGAAGAGGGUUGUGGAAUUCCCAGUGUAGAGGUGAAAUUCGUAGAUAUUGGGAAGAACACCGGUGGCGAAGGCGGCAACCUGGUCCUUGACUGACGCUGAGGCGCGAAAGCGUGGGGAGCAAACAGGAUUAGAUACCCGUGUAGUCCCUGUCUCUUAUAU
This 301-nucleotide ribosomal RNA is filed under the name uncultured bacterium. RNAcentral describes it as "partial 16S ribosomal RNA". It matches the Rfam family "Bacterial small subunit ribosomal RNA", at positions 509 to 809 of the family's 1533-position model. The record is from RNAcentral.